CCUACGGGGGGCUGCAGUGAGGAAUAUUGCGCAAUGGGGGAAACCCUGACGCAGCGACGCCGCGUGAGUGAUGAAGGCCUUCGGGUUGUAAAGCUCUGUCAGAGGGAAAGAAAGGGGUGUUGGAAUAAUACCCAACACCCUUGACGGUACCCUCGGAGGAAGCACCGGCUAACUCCGUGCCAGCAGCCGCGGUAAUACGGAGGGUGCAAGUGUUAUUCGGGAUCAAUGGGCGUUGAGAGAGUCAGAGCGGAAAUCCCGGAGCUUAACUUCGGAACUGAAUUUGAUACUGCUCGUCUUGAGUAUGGUAGAGGGGGAUGGAAUUCCCGGUGUAGAGGUGAAAUUCGUAGAUAUCGGGAGGAACACCAGAGGCGAAGGCGAUCCCCUGGGCCAUUACUGACGCUGAGGUGCGAAAGCGUGGGGAGCAAACAGGAUUAGAUACCCGAGUAGUC
This 449-nucleotide ribosomal RNA is filed under the name uncultured bacterium. RNAcentral describes it as "partial 16S ribosomal RNA". It matches the Rfam family "Bacterial small subunit ribosomal RNA", at positions 338 to 795 of the family's 1533-position model. The record is from RNAcentral.